CCUACGGGAGGCAGCAGUGGGGAAUAUUGGGCAAUGGACGCAACCCUGACCCAGCAACGCCGCGUGAAGGAAGAAGGCUUUCGGGUUGUAAACUUCUUUUCUGAGGGACGAAGAAAGUGACGGUACCUCAGGAAUAAGCCACGGCUAACUACGUGCCAGCAGCCGCGGUAAUACGUAGGUGGCGAGCGUUAUCCGGAUUUAUUGGGUGUAAAGGGUGUGUAGGCGGGAAAGCAAGUUAGUAGUGAAAACUCAGGGCUCAACCCUGGGCCUGCUUCUGAAACUGUUUGUCUUGAGUGCUGGAGAGGCAAUCGGAAUUCCGUGUGUAGCGGUGAAAUGCGUAGAUAUACGGAGGAACACCAGUGGCGAAGGCGGAUUGCUGGACAGUAACUGACGCUGAGGCGCGAAAGCGUGGGGAGCAAACAGGAUUAGAUACCCGAGUAGUC
This 443-nucleotide ribosomal RNA is filed under the name uncultured bacterium. RNAcentral's name for it is "partial 16S ribosomal RNA". It matches the Rfam family "Bacterial small subunit ribosomal RNA", at positions 338 to 795 of the family's 1533-position model. The record is from RNAcentral.